GUCUGGAAUGUGUUUAGCCUUGAGAGCUUGCAAGAAGCCUUUAUAGUUCAUGAUGAAGAAUGGGAAAAGCAGUAUUAUAAUGUUAGGCAAGACUGGUUCAGAUCAGAGAGAAAUGGAGGAAGAAAUCAUUAAAAUGAAGGGUAGGAUUGUCUCUUCGCAACCAUUAAAGGCAGUUUCAGAAUUUCCUUCUGGAUUCCGUGCAUCACACAGACUAUCUACUAUCAUCCCUGGUUAAUGAGAGGGGCUUCACAAAGACUCUCCCACAUUGAUUUUGUCCUUUGCCGAACAUCAAGCGCAUUUUCAACCAGUACCAUCAGGAUAGCAUUUGAAUACUCUCUAUGACUGCAUUCCCUCAACUGCAUCAUAAGUUCCUUGAAGUGACAAAAGUGGUUUAACAGCUCUGUCUAUCUAAAGAUGUCUACUCAGAUACUGGGCACAAAAUUGAUUGAUAGCAAUUGAUUGACAGAGAGGUUUCUUUAGGAAGAGCUUUUACUCUGAAUAAAAUAUUCCUGUGAGGAAGAUGCCGACCGGCCAUCUAGGUCUGCAGAAGAUGAGACCAGAGGAAAUGGAUUUUGAACAUGCCCCGAGAGACCUGUAAAAAAUUAACUGCAAGGGAGUUUAAACACAGGAAGAACAGAACAGAGAAGGCUGAGGGCUCUCUCCUGAAAUGAAUGUUUUAAAAAAAAGACAGCCUAUUUUUAGAUAAAAUAAGUUGACACAGGCCAUUGGUUCUUAACCUACAGUCUGUAAACCCCAAAUGUUGCUGCUUUUGCUAAGGAUCUGCAAAUUAAUUUGCAUAUCAAACAUUGUAGAAUAAAUCUUACACUUAUAUGCAAUGCCUUUUUUCAAAUCCACGUGGAGAAAUAUAUUUGACUUAAUAAAAUACAAAUUCUUUAAAAG
Molecule: non-coding RNA, 900 nt
Organism: Macaca mulatta (Rhesus monkey)
Lineage: Eukaryota; Metazoa; Chordata; Mammalia; Primates; Cercopithecidae
Source: RefSeq, a predicted model, not a curated record